UCUCUUCUCACCAAAAAAUAAAAAAACAUAUCGCAAAAAGAAGCCUCUGCCGUUCCUUUCUCUUCUCUAUUUCUCUAUCGUCUCCUUCCCCAAAACCCAACACUGAAAAUCAAUCCUGCCAAGAAGUCAUCCCCACAUGGUUAGGUCUGAGAUAGAAAGAAGGCAUCACCAACCAUAUGGUUUGGUCCUUCGGAGAGUUUUUCCAGAAGCGAAGGUGACGAUGGGACCGCAACAGAGCUUGAAGAGAAAAUCAAAUCAGGCACCGCCACUGCUGGUGUUUGAUGAAAUUUCCUAUGAGUUCUAGAAGCCAUAAUACAUGGAGAGUUGUAAGGAGGAAGAUAGGUAAGAAAUGUGAUGCUCUAUUGUUGAUUUAAUCAAGAUUGCUUGCAGCCUUGCAAUGUUGUUGACUACAAGUAUUCUCUACAUGGGCUGCCAGUGGAUUCUGAUGAGUACCUUCAGAGGUAUGAAAGGUUUGAUUUAGCAUCAACAAAAAGUAGAUAACUCAAUUCAAUUAUGAUCCUGCUUUCAUGGAGGAAAUGAGGACAAGAAGACAAACAUCUCAUGAGUUUCACAUACACAGUUGCAGAACCAGUUCAUAAACCAUAGAAAUAUGGACUAUGUAAAUUGACAAAUGUCUAUGUACAAUGAUAGAUUUGCUUAUUCAACUUGUGGUGGUGUUCAUAAAGUAACAUUCAACUAGCAUUAAUAACACCUACUCUUCUAUGUUUAUGAAA
Long non-coding RNA from Quercus robur (English oak), 734 nucleotides. RefSeq lists it as uncharacterized. Lineage: Eukaryota; Viridiplantae; Streptophyta; Magnoliopsida; Fagales; Fagaceae. The transcript is spliced from 4 exons. The record is from RefSeq and is a predicted model, not a curated record.